RNAcentral lists this non-coding RNA (115 nucleotides) under Pantoea agglomerans. Lineage: Bacteria; Pseudomonadati; Pseudomonadota; Gammaproteobacteria; Enterobacterales; Erwiniaceae. The record is from RNAcentral.
UUGAGCGGAGUGCGGUGAAAGUCGCACGCUCCGUUAUCAGGAGACCAAAUGGCUAUGCUUACAUGGCUGUUAAGGUGGGAUACUAAAAAGCGGAUAAACUUUGCACUUAUCCGCC